This 215-nucleotide long non-coding RNA is filed under the name Physcomitrium patens. RNAcentral's name for it is "long non-coding RNA (PPAT_LNC005133)". Lineage: Eukaryota; Viridiplantae; Streptophyta; Bryopsida; Funariales; Funariaceae. The record is from RNAcentral.
ACAACCUUGUGAUAAACACUGACUGGAAACUUCCAUACAUCCUCAAUCUUUCACAACAAUUGAUAAACAAUAAUCUAUAAACAACUUCGUAAAUCAAACAUUAAUUCAUUAAAUCGAUUCUCUUCACUAGAAUCAACACUAACACAAAAGAAACAAGAAAACUAAGAAGAAGAGAUAGCACCAAGCUUAUCCUCGGCUCAAUACUAUCAUAGUCU